Molecule: ribosomal RNA, 600 nt
Filed under: Arthrobacter sp. AL15
Lineage: Bacteria; Bacillati; Actinomycetota; Actinomycetes; Micrococcales; Micrococcaceae
Description: bacterial SSU rRNA
Rfam family: Bacterial small subunit ribosomal RNA
Source: RNAcentral
GCUUGCUGGGGGGAUUAGUGGCGAACGGGUGAGUAACACGUGAGUAACCUGCCCUUGACUCUGGGAUAAGCCUGGGAAACUGGGUCUAAUACCGGAUAUGACUCCUCAUCGCAUGGUGGGGGGUGGAAAGCUUUUGUGGUUUUGGAUGGACUCGCGGCCUAUCAGCUUGUUGGUGGGGUAAUGGCCUACCAAGGCGACGACGGGUAGCCGGCCUGAGAGGGUGACCGGCCACACUGGGACUGAGACACGGCCCAGACUCCUACGGGAGGCAGCAGUGGGGAAUAUUGCACAAUGGGCGGAAGCCUGAUGCAGCGACGCCGCGUGAGGGAUGACGGCCUUCGGGUUGUAAACCUCUUUCAGUAGGGAAGAAGCCGCAAGGUGACGGUACCUGCAGAAGAAGCGCCGGCUAACUACGUGCCAGCAGCCGCGGUAAUACGUAGGGCGCAAGCGUUAUCCGGAAUUAUUGGGCGUAAAGAGCUCGUAGGCGGUUUGUCGCGUCUGCUGUGAAAGACCGGGGCUCAACUCCGGUUCUGCAGUGGGUACGGGCAGACUAGAGUGCAGUAGGGGAGACUGGAAUUCCUGGUGUACGGUGAAAUGCGC